AGGUAGGAGAUGAAAAGAGGAGAAGAGUAGAUGAGGGGAAAAGAAGAGAGAAGCAGAAGAGGGAAGGAGAUGUGCAACCGAAUGUAGGAGAGAGAAGAUUCCUAUCCCCUAUUUGAUUUACUAACAUGAAGUAAGAAUUACAAACACCUCCCUAGGCAGGUAAAAGG
Molecule: long non-coding RNA, 167 nt
Organism: Telopea speciosissima
Lineage: Eukaryota; Viridiplantae; Streptophyta; Magnoliopsida; Proteales; Proteaceae
Exons: 2
Source: RefSeq, a predicted model, not a curated record